GACGAACGCUGGCGGCGUGCCUAAUACAUGCAAGUAGAACGCUGAAGGAGGGGCUUGCUUCUCUGGAUGGGUUGCGAACGGGUGAGUAACGCGUAGGUAACCUGCCUGGUAGCGGGGGAUAACUAUUGGAAACGAUAGCUAAUACCGCAUAAGAGUAGAUGUUGCAUGACAUUUGCUUAAAAGGUGCAAUUGCAUCACUACCAGAUGGACCUGCGUUGUAUUAGCUAGUUGGUGGGGUAACGGCUCACCAAGGCGACGAUACAUAGCCGACCUGAGAGGGUGAUCGGCCACACUGGGACUGAGACACGGCCCAGACUCCUACGGGAGGCAGCAGUAGGGAAUCUUCGGCAAUGGACGGAAGUCUGACCGAGCAACGCCGCGUGAGUGAAGAAGGUUUUCGGAUCGUAAAGCUCUGUUGUAAGAGAAGAACGAGUGUGAGAGUGGAAAGUUCACACUGUGACGGUAUCUUACCAGAAAGGGACGGCUAACUACGUG
This 495-nucleotide ribosomal RNA is filed under the name uncultured bacterium. RNAcentral describes it as "partial 16S ribosomal RNA". It matches the Rfam family "Bacterial small subunit ribosomal RNA", at positions 28 to 507 of the family's 1533-position model. The record is from RNAcentral.